GAUGAACGCUGGCGGCGUGCCUAAUACAUGCAAGUCGAGCGAACGGACGAGAAGCUUGUUUCUCUGAUGUUAGCGGCGGACGGGUGAGUAACACGUGGAUAACCUACCUAUAAGACUGGGAUAACUUCGGGAAACCGGAGCUAAUACCGGAUAAUAUUUUGAACCGCAUGGUUCAAAAGUGAAAGACGGUCUUGCUGUCACUUAUAGAUGGAUCCGCGCUGCAUUAGCUAGUUGGUAAGGUAACGGCUUACCAAGGCAACGAUGCAUAGCCGACCUGAGAGGGUGAUCGGCCACACUGGAACUGAGACACGGUCCAGACUCCUACGGGAGGCAGCAGUAGGGAAUCUUCCGCAAUGGGCGAAAGCCUGACGGAGCAACGCCGCGUGAGUGAUGAAGGUCUUCGGAUCGUAAAACUCUGUUAUUAGGGAAGAACAUAUGUGUAAGUAACUGUGCACAUCUUGACGGUACCUAAUCAGAAAGCCACGGCUAACUACGUG
RNAcentral lists this ribosomal RNA (497 nucleotides) under uncultured bacterium. RNAcentral describes it as "partial 16S ribosomal RNA". It matches the Rfam family "Bacterial small subunit ribosomal RNA", at positions 28 to 507 of the family's 1533-position model. The record is from RNAcentral.